This is a long non-coding RNA of Drosophila erecta, 552 nucleotides long. RefSeq lists it as uncharacterized. The record is from RefSeq and is a predicted model, not a curated record. The transcript has 3 exons. Lineage: Eukaryota; Metazoa; Arthropoda; Insecta; Diptera; Drosophilidae.
GUGGCCGCCGACAUUGUUGCUGGAUUUUGGAUUUUGGGGUCGAGUUGCGCGGAAAAUUGGGGGAAAAACGAAACACCAACAGGCACAGGCGAGCGCUGCGACCACAAAAAAGCGGGCAAAAUCAAAAGCGACCGCGGAAAACGGGCCAUUUUUUGCUGCUUCUGUGUUUCUGAGUCGUAAAAGUGGACGUUUUGUGAUUUUGUGAUAUUUAGUGAAUUGUGCAAACGUAUUCGAAGGAAAAUACGCCGAAACUUCAAUUAAACGCUGCAAUGAAAAUGUAGAAAAAGCGAAGCGCGCACAGCACGAACGAACGCGAAGAAUGAAAUGAAGAAGCGGACGAAAAAGACCGCGGCGUGCGCGACAGAGAUGGCGCCAUUUCCAGCGAAGGACUACCCAUUUAAAUACAAAUAGAGCUAUCCAUCUGUCGAGUGCCCACUGUACACACCUCCCAGAGCGGACAUUAAACCGCAAGAGCAGCUCACAAUGGAAGCGCUUUGUUGUCGUCGGCGUUAUCAAUUAAAUGUAAGCGAGCGAGGCGCAGCGCAAACGAAA